This is a long non-coding RNA of Gopherus flavomarginatus (Mexican gopher tortoise), 435 nucleotides long. RefSeq lists it as uncharacterized. The record is from RefSeq and is a predicted model, not a curated record. NCBI's taxonomy places the organism in Eukaryota, Metazoa, Chordata, Testudines, Testudinidae. The transcript is spliced from 3 exons.
CAGCUUUCCAUGCACUCCUGCUGCAGCGCCUGCGGGCCAGCAAAUCUCGUCUGGAUGCUGCCUGCAGCUCUCCUGGCUCGAUACCCUUUCCCUUGGAAUAUUCUGCCCUCCAUGUCCAUGGCCUGAAUUUCUUGAUUUUUGUGGCACACUGCCAAGCUCAUCUACACUAAAGGAAAUUCCCCAGGUGUAUGUGGGCAGACUCACGGAGCAGUUUCUGAUCAAGUGUCAUUUCAUAAUUCUCCUCACUCAAACAAACCCCAGUUCGAGCCCUUGUUCUCUAUCCAGCUGAUUCUUCAGAAGAUACUUCUCCACUUGUUGAACUUUUGCAGGUUUCCCAAGUGGAGAAGGCACAAAUGAAAGUGUUGUUUAGUUCUAAAUAGUUGUUGUUGUUGAUUAUUUAUAUCCUGGCAGCACCAGUCAGAGCCCAGAAUCUCA